UACAGAGGUCUCAAGCGUUUGUUCGGGAUUCAUUGGGCGUAAAGGGUGCGUAGGUGGCGCCAUAAGUCGGGUGUGAAUUCGGAGCUUAACUCCGAAACUGCAUUCGAUACUGUGGUGCUUGAGGACUGGAGAGGAGACUGGAAUUCAUGGUGAGCAGUGAAAUGCGUAGAGAUCAAUGAGGAAGACCAGUGGCGAAGGCGGGUCGUCGUGGACAA
Molecule: ribosomal RNA, 215 nt
Filed under: uncultured bacterium
Lineage: Bacteria
Description: partial 16S ribosomal RNA
Rfam family: Bacterial small subunit ribosomal RNA
Source: RNAcentral